CCCUUUCUCUCAGCAUCCUCCGGUGCUCCUGGAGGUGAUACAGGCACAGCAGCAUCCAUGGCCUGCCCUUAGCCUCUGCACUUGGCUUUUUCCCCUCCUCGUUAUUCCGGCAGCUGAGCGGGAUCGGAGGCUUUUGGUCGAAGGGCUCCCGUUAAGCAUCUGGUAACUGGGAUCGUAUUCUCCUGUAUUUUUUCAGGCUCCUUGGAAAUUGAGGAAUGCAAUUCUGCCACCAUGAUGGAAGGUAGGUGAUGAUCUGAGCAUGUCUUUCGGGAUUGCUGGAGUUUUCAAAGCCAUGGGGGAAGGACGAUGCGCGGAACCUGCGCGUGUGAAUCCUCUUCCUAUUAAAAAACCCUAAAAUAAUGAUAAUAAUGAUAAUAAAAUUAAAACCUCCCCUCCCCCUAAUCCCAUUCGAAUCGAAGCACCCUGCCCACUGCCGCUGAGCUGGUGGAUGGUGAUAUAAUAUCAAGCCCAUCAGAUUAUUUGUGGUUCCCUCCCCAGCCCUGUGUAGGCAGCUCGGGGUAAGCAAACACCCGGUUAUCCAUCGGAGCUGCCAGUUCCAGGCAGCAGCCUGGGCAGGGAGAUGAACCCAACCUGGAUGGGUUGGUUGGUAUUUGAAUCCUUUAAGUAUUAUUUUAUCCUCUGCUUGGAAACGCACUUUUUCCACCUGCUGUGAUGCACAGAGGGUGAAUAUAAGUGUUAUCUGUAUGCACAGACCGCGGCUGUGAAGCCUGGUGAUGCUCGAUGGGAUUCUGUGGUUUUACGCUGUGUGGAUGGACAUCUUUCUAGCAGGAAACAAGGAUGUUUGAACUUAGGGUCGUUUUUGCUAUGUAGUGUGUCUGGUUUGAAGGCGCAGGCUCUGGUGGGGGGGAUGUUGGAUUGUGGCUUAUUGGAAUAAAAAAGGAAAUGAGAAGGAAAUAUGGGCUCCGAGCACAAGAGUGUUGUGAGACUGUCUGAUGGUGUGUGGGAAAAGCCCCUGGGCAUUAAAGAAAUUUUAACCUGUGUCGUUUGUCUCGACUGUAUGUAAAGGUCUUUUUAAUUCUAUUUAAUUUUUUAAUGCCUUCUGGAGUCAGAUGCAGGGAAAGGGAGACUUUUAAAUUUAUAUUCUGAACAGAAUAGAUACUUCAGGGAAUAUAUUCUCUUUUAUUUCUGACAAAUAAAAAUGAUCUAUUUGAGAGACUUGAGGAUGUCAAAAUAUUCCCUUGGAUUUGUGUAUUCUGGUCCAUUGGCCGAGGCAGCAGGGCCCAGCCUGGGGAGGGCUGCGCGGAGCCGCAUCCAGCGCCGUGCUCGCGGCACUGCCAGCAUGCUAACCGGCAUGCCCGGCCUUCCCGAGAUGACAGGCAGAAAUUAGGCUUCCUCUUGGUGUGUCCCUGCAAAUCAUGCUCUGCCACCCGGUCCAAAUUAACCUGCAAAGGCAUCAAGCUCCGUGUAACCGAGACUUCUCCUAUUGACUUGAAUUAUUUGCCUAACCUUGGGAAUGGAGGUUCUGUAAUGGC
Molecule: long non-coding RNA, 1493 nt
Organism: Strigops habroptila (Kakapo)
Lineage: Eukaryota; Metazoa; Chordata; Aves; Psittaciformes; Psittacidae
Source: Ensembl